This 434-nucleotide ribosomal RNA is filed under the name uncultured bacterium. RNAcentral's name for it is "bacterial SSU rRNA". It matches the Rfam family "Bacterial small subunit ribosomal RNA", at positions 958 to 1392 of the family's 1533-position model. The record is from RNAcentral.
AACGCGAAGAACCUUACCUGGUCUUGACAUCCACGGAAGUUUUCAGAGAUGAGAAUGUGCCUUCGGGAACCGUGAGACAGGUGCUGCAUGGCUGUCGUCAGCUCGUGUUGUGAAAUGUUGGGUUAAGUCCCGCAACGAGCGCAACCCUUAUCCUUUGUUGCCAGCGGUCCGGCCGGGAACUCAAAGGAGACUGCCAGUGAUAAACUGGAGGAAGGUGGGGAUGACGUCAAGUCAUCAUGGCCCUUACGACCAGGGCUACACACGUGCUACAAUGGCCGGUACAAAGGGCUGCAAAACCGCAAGGUGGAGCGAAUCCCAAAAAGCCGGUCUCAGUUCGGAUUGGGGUCUGCAACUCGACCCCAUGAAGUCGGAAUCGCUAGUAAUCGCGGAUCAGAAUGCCGCGGUGAAUACGUUCCCGGGUCUUGUACACACCG